UGGGGUGGGAGGAACGUGGGCAGGGAGGAAUGGCACCGCGAUGGGCCUGGGGGAGGCGCGAAGGGGAAAGGGCUGAUAGAUGUGUUUAAAAGCCCUGGGUCUCGGGCUCUGAUGCCGGGAGAAUGAAGCGCAACGGGCGGGCGGCUGCUGUCCUGCGUAGGUCAGAACCCGGCCCGCCGGCCCGAAGACACACACGCCCCCUCAUGUCUCCCUCCUUUCCCUCUUUAACUCGGGGAACGAAAACAGUGGAGCUCCUACUCUUGUUUGAGCUAAGGCUUCUGACUGGAACCUUUCUCUCCGGGAAUUGAAAGCGGGAAGUCCUGAUUUCGGUGCCUGGCUCUCACAAUACUUGGGCAAGUCGUUGCACCUCUGGGUGCUCCUCCCUUGCACGCUCUCCAGAGAGAACCUCCCCAACGUGAUGAGAAGUCGUAGAAGAGAAGACCACAGAGAGACAGAAAGCCAGAGGGAGCAGCCAGAAGCUGAAAGUCAAUGG
Choloepus didactylus (southern two-toed sloth) is the source of this 493-nucleotide long non-coding RNA. RefSeq lists it as uncharacterized. The record is from RefSeq and is a predicted model, not a curated record. Lineage: Eukaryota; Metazoa; Chordata; Mammalia; Pilosa; Megalonychidae. The transcript has 3 exons.